Non-coding RNA from Triticum aestivum (bread wheat), 134 nucleotides. The record is from Rfam. NCBI's taxonomy places the organism in Eukaryota, Viridiplantae, Streptophyta, Magnoliopsida, Poales, Poaceae.
GUACUACUCCCUUCGUUUCGAAUUAUUGUCUUGGAUUUGUCUAGAUACGGAUGUAUCUAGACUCAUUUUAGUGCUAGAUACCUUUGUAUCUAGACAAAUCUAAGAUAAGUAAUUCGGAACGGAGAGAGUACUUG